UAAUAUUGGAUUUUAGCGGGAAAAGGAGAGAACUGGUGAAAACUAAAAGUAAAAAAAAAAGGAAAUUAAGCUCCAAAAUUUCACUCCAAAUUGUCUUUCGCCCUAAAUCUCUCAAAUACUUUCAACCUAAAAUCCCUUAGACACUGCUGAACUCCUUCAAAAUUCAAAAUCCCUAAGAGACGCCGCUGAACUCCUUCAAAAUUCAGAAGGUCAAACACUCUAAGAAGGUUGCAAAGAGCGAGCGAGGCGACCGCUAAACUUCGGCAUUCAGAACUCUGUUCAAUUUCUUCUUUAGAGGCCGCUAAACCUCCAAAUUACUUUACACAAAAUUAUGUUGGAUUAUCCGCUAAACAAGAAUAAGUUCAAUUUUUUCUCUUUGAUAUGUUUUCUUCUUCUUCUUUGUGUUUUUUCCCCUUUGAAUCAUCGCAAAUAGUGUUCUUCAAUUUUUUGUUUCUUUAUUUGCUUUCUGCAACUUAGAAUUCUAUAUAUGGAGAUUAAAAAUUUGGGUUCUUCAAGUUCUCCAAUUUUAAUCAGAAAUCGCAAAAGGUUUCUUCAAUUUUUUUCUCUUUUAUUUUUUUCUAUAUGUAGAAAUCUCUGUUACUAAUUGACCUUUUAUGUUUUCCUUUUUAUACAGUUUUGUUUAUUGAAAAUGUAGAAUGAAGCUAAGUCAAAGUAGUUACGUUUAUAAUGAUUAUAAAAUAAAUAUUUACAGCACAAAAAGCAUAAUUCUCAUUAAGAAAUCAUGUCUGAAAAGUCAGAUAGUUCCUGUAACAGCAAGAUGCUCUAUAAAGCUUGACGUUGGGAUUUUUGAUAAUAUUACAUUUUGUACAUUUGGUGUUUAUUAAAACUCUAACCUAACACUGUUGUGAAAAAAUCUUUUAGUUCCAUUUUGCAGCUUAUUGGUUGUUUUGAAUAGUGAUCUUUCUUGUGUGAGUGAUAAAAGUGAGAUUAUUGGGUUUAAAAUUGAGUGAUCUUAUUGUGUGAGGAGAAAUUUAUACAAAAUAGGGGCUGUUUGGUUGCUCGUAAAAUCAUCAGAGAAUGUCAUGCAACCCAGAACUGAAAUUCCACCAAAAAUGGGUAUUGGUUGCUCGUAUUAGGACUGCAAAAGAAUAUAGGUUGAGC
RNAcentral lists this long non-coding RNA (1122 nucleotides) under Nicotiana benthamiana. RNAcentral's name for it is "long non-coding RNA (NBEN_LNC031421)". The record is from RNAcentral. Lineage: Eukaryota; Viridiplantae; Streptophyta; Magnoliopsida; Solanales; Solanaceae.